RNAcentral lists this long non-coding RNA (574 nucleotides) under Mus spicilegus (steppe mouse). RNAcentral describes it as "lncRNA (ENSMSIG00000003688.1)". The record is from RNAcentral. Lineage: Eukaryota; Metazoa; Chordata; Mammalia; Rodentia; Muridae.
UGUGACUGUCUUUUCAUUCCCCAUUCUAGAAGAUUCUGCCAGGCACUCAGUGCUGCCCACUGUAGAGUCACAUGGAGAGGCACUGAGAGGAAGGGAGCAAAGUUACAAAGGUUAAAGUGAACGGAAUGCCUCUCAGAACUGGAAGAUCACCAUUUUCUGCAAGUACUUAAAACUCGGAUGCAGUGAGCACCCUGCCUGUCAUUCUCUGCAAUUUUCAAUCACUACAGCCCAGGGCAGCAAGAAUCCUCGACGGCCAGCAGGGUGGAAUUACACUGUUGGACACUGUGGAGAGGUCCAGAGAGGAAACUCUGCCAAUGCCUGUGCUUGAACUUGGCCUUUAAGCCCUGUGACUUCUGCAUAAGGAAGAAGUCAACUCUCCAUCUUUCAUGACUGACGUAGCCAUUCAUCUCUGGAAGUGGAACCCUUCCCUAUAGUUUCCACAGGAACCAUUUCGUAUUUAUCCGAGUUUAUUGGACCCUACGAUAGAAGAAAUGAGGAACAAAGAUCAAGAAAGUCUCCUAUCGUAAGUUAUUAUGUCCUCACCAGAUGGAAGAAAAAUUUACAAGUCUUUUUU